RNAcentral lists this ribosomal RNA (167 nucleotides) under uncultured eukaryote. Its description in RNAcentral is "partial small subunit ribosomal RNA". It matches the Rfam family "Eukaryotic small subunit ribosomal RNA", at positions 1662 to 1828 of the family's 1831-position model. The record is from RNAcentral.
GUACACACCGCCCGUCGCUACUACCGAUUGAGUGUUUUAGUGAGGUCCUCGGAUUGCUUUCCUGGCGGUUAACGCUGCCUAGUUGGCGAAAAGACGACCAAACUGUAGCACUUAGAGGAAGUAAAAGUCGUAACAAGGUUUCCGUAGGUGAACCUGCAGAAGGAUCA